CGAAAUGUAUCAAAAUCAAGAAUAAUCAUAUAACAAAUUCUCUGUCAAUUUGUCAUCAUGUCUUUUCAUUAAGAGUUAGGGUUCAGAAAAAGGAGAUUGUAUAACUCUAAAUAAUAAGACUUCCAUUCGAGUUUCGUAGGUCAGUUAGUUGAGUUGGCACUUUAUUGUUUGUAAUUGUCUGAAGAUAUUAUUCAUGUGAUUUGAAGUGGUA
RNAcentral lists this long non-coding RNA (211 nucleotides) under Nicotiana benthamiana. RNAcentral's name for it is "long non-coding RNA (NBEN_LNC002719)". The record is from RNAcentral. Lineage: Eukaryota; Viridiplantae; Streptophyta; Magnoliopsida; Solanales; Solanaceae.